Non-coding RNA from Cyanistes caeruleus (blue tit), 451 nucleotides. The record is from RefSeq and is a predicted model, not a curated record. NCBI's taxonomy places the organism in Eukaryota, Metazoa, Chordata, Aves, Passeriformes, Paridae.
AAAAAAAAAAGCAAAACCCAAGAUAAAAAUCUUUUAUUGUGCUGAUUACAGACGUUAGGGCAGAGUGUGCUGUGGAAGUGAAUAAUAACACGUCUGAGAAAUCAAGUCCUGAUUCUGAAGACAAGACAUCAGACUAAUGAGACACAAAAGGAAUGCUUAAUGAAUGACAAAGUAUAAGCUUGAUUAUCAGAACAUACCAGAGUGUUACAGCACUGGAGAAGAUAAUAUCCCGUCAAAAAGACGUCCUCUGAGGCUUUACUGGGAGAUCUUCUUAAACUGAUUGUCCUUCCAUCCAAAAACUUCUAUGAUUAAAUAGUUGUGAUUGUAUUAAGUAAACUGAAAAUGCAAUUCCUCAAGUACUGAACUUUUCUGAACUACCUGCCUUCAAGUACGUGAGGAAGUUCCCCUAGGCUCUGUGUACCUGCCUGCUGAGAAAAAGCAAUUUUACAGG